RNAcentral lists this ribosomal RNA (415 nucleotides) under uncultured bacterium. Its description in RNAcentral is "bacterial SSU rRNA". It matches the Rfam family "Bacterial small subunit ribosomal RNA", at positions 945 to 1359 of the family's 1533-position model. The record is from RNAcentral.
UUUAAUUCGAAGCAACGCGAAGAACCUUACCAAAUCUUGACAUCCUCUGACCCCUCUAGAGAUAGAGGUUUCCCCUUCGGGGGACAGAGUGACAGGUGGUGCAUGGUUGUCGUCAGCUCGUGUCGUGAGAUGUUGGGUUAAGUCCCGCAACGAGCGCAACCCUUAAGCUUAGUUGCCAUCAUUAAGUUGGGCACUCUAAGUUGACUGCCGGUGACAAACCGGAGGAAGGUAGGGAUGACGUCAAAUCAUCAUGCCCCUUAUGAUUUGGGCUACACACGUGCUACAAUGGACAAUACAAAGGGCAGCGAAACCGCGAGGUCAAGCAAAUCCCAUAAAGUUGUUCUCAGUUCGGAUUGUAGUCUGCAACUCGACUAUAUGAAGCUGGAAUCGCUAGUAAUCGUAGAUCAGCAUGCUA